AUUAAUCUUAUUAGAGGAAAUCCUUUUGGAAGUUCUGGUAGAAACACACCUUCAUAACCCUGCAAAAAAAAAGAAAUAUAAAUGAACCAGGAAUAGAAAGGGAAUAGGUUAGUUCAUAACUUAGUAAAAAAUAGUCUCUAUGCAUGAGGAAAACCACCAGAUUCCUCUUCUCAAACUCAUCCUUAAUCUCCUUACAAUUUGCCAAAAGUGUUACCUUUUUUUUCCACUUAGAAUUACCUUUUCCUUAACUCUACUCCACAGUACCCUUGACAUCAUUACUAGCAUCCAUAAAAUUUACCUUCUCUUUCAACUAGCUCAACUUAUGAUACAUGUCACUAACUU
RNAcentral lists this long non-coding RNA (342 nucleotides) under Capsicum annuum. RNAcentral's name for it is "long non-coding RNA (CANN_LNC017206)". The record is from RNAcentral. Lineage: Eukaryota; Viridiplantae; Streptophyta; Magnoliopsida; Solanales; Solanaceae.